Non-coding RNA from Arachis ipaensis, 343 nucleotides. NCBI's taxonomy places the organism in Eukaryota, Viridiplantae, Streptophyta, Magnoliopsida, Fabales, Fabaceae. The record is from RefSeq and is a predicted model, not a curated record.
CAAUAUCUUCUUCAGAUCCUAUUGUGAUUGCUGGAACAGCUGGAGCACUCUUUAUUGCGUACCUCUUACUUCCUCCAAUUUGGUCUAGCAUCACCUUCAACUUCCGUGGUUGCAAAGGUGAACUUAUUUCUCUUUGUUUGCAGAGGUGUUGUGUCUCCAUCAAGAGUCAUCAUUGCAGUUGUUAGAGGUUUUGGAACAACCUCCCAAUCAAGUACCAAGCUUCUUUCCGGAGCUGAUUGAUUCUCUUUUCUUUUUUUUUUUAUUUUUUUUAUUUGCAAAUACAAAUCUACCCCUUGUGUAUGUUCAAGUCAUCCUUGUUUUUUGUUUCAUCAUUUUCUCAUAA